Molecule: microRNA precursor, 56 nt
Filed under: Oreochromis niloticus (Nile tilapia)
Lineage: Eukaryota; Metazoa; Chordata; Actinopteri; Cichliformes; Cichlidae
Description: microRNA oni-mir-10883 precursor
Source: miRBase by way of RNAcentral
GCUAAGAGAGCUCUGUUCGGCCAGAGCUCAUGAGGCCACCAGCUCUCUCUUGGCAC